This 253-nucleotide ribosomal RNA is filed under the name uncultured bacterium. Its description in RNAcentral is "partial 16S ribosomal RNA". It matches the Rfam family "Bacterial small subunit ribosomal RNA", at positions 524 to 776 of the family's 1533-position model. The record is from RNAcentral.
GACGUAGGGGGCCAGCGUUGCCCGGAAUUACUGGGGGUAAAGGGUUUGUAGGCGGUGGGGCAAGUCGGGGGGGAAAUCUCUGGGCUCAACCCAGAGUCUGCUUCCGAAACUGCUGUGCUUGAGUGUGGGAGAGGCGCGUGGAAUUGCAGGUGUAGCGGUGAAAUGCGUAGAUAUCUGCAGGAACACCCGUGGCGAAAGCGGCGCGCUGGACCACUACUGACGCUGAGGAACGAAAGCUAGGGGAGCAAACAGG